Molecule: non-coding RNA, 29 nt
Filed under: Mus musculus (house mouse)
Lineage: Eukaryota; Metazoa; Chordata; Mammalia; Rodentia; Muridae
Also listed under: 1 other name
Source: RNAcentral
UUUAGAUCCAAACCCUAACACACCACACC